UGGCGACCGGCGCACGGGUGCGUAACGCGUAUGCAACCUACCUGUAACAGGGGGAUAACACUGAGAAAUCGGUACUAAUACCGCAUAACACUAUGAGAGGCAUCUCUUGUGGUUGAAAGUUUCGGCGGUUACAGAUGGGCAUGCGUUGUAUUAGCUGGUUGGUAAGGUAACGGCUUACCAAGGCGACGAUACAUAGGGGGACUGAGAGGUUAACCCCCCCACAUUGGUACUGAGACACGGACCAAACUCCUACGGAAGGCAGCAG
This 265-nucleotide ribosomal RNA is filed under the name uncultured bacterium. RNAcentral's name for it is "partial 16S ribosomal RNA". It matches the Rfam family "Bacterial small subunit ribosomal RNA", at positions 89 to 354 of the family's 1533-position model. The record is from RNAcentral.